This 26-nucleotide non-coding RNA is filed under the name Homo sapiens (human). The record is from RNAcentral. Lineage: Eukaryota; Metazoa; Chordata; Mammalia; Primates; Hominidae.
UGACUCUUCAGGGGUAGCCUUGGGUC